AUUGAACGCUGGCGGCAGGCCUAACACAUGCAAGUCGAACGAGUGGCGGACGGGUGAGUAAUGUCUGGGAAACUGCCAGAUGGAGGGGGAUAAAUACUGGAAACGGUAGCUAAUACCGCAUACCAUCGGAUGUGCCCAGAUGGGAUUAGCUAGUAGGGGGGGUAAAGGCGCAACUAGGCGACGAUCCCUAGCUGGUCUGAGAGGAUGACCGGCCACCCGUGAACUGAGCCAGGGGCCAGACGCCUACGGGAGGCAGCAGUGGGGAAUAUUGCACAAUGGGCGCAAUCCUGAUGCAGCCAGGCCGCGUGUAUGAAGAAGGCCUUCGGGUUGUAAAGUACUUUCAGCGGGGAGGCGUUAACCGCAGAAGAAGCACCGGCUAACUCCGUGCCAGCAGCCGCGGUAAGUC
Molecule: ribosomal RNA, 406 nt
Filed under: uncultured bacterium
Lineage: Bacteria
Description: partial 16S ribosomal RNA
Rfam family: Bacterial small subunit ribosomal RNA
Source: RNAcentral